Molecule: ribosomal RNA, 546 nt
Filed under: Bacillus sp. 6-13
Lineage: Bacteria; Bacillati; Bacillota; Bacilli; Caryophanales; Bacillaceae
Description: bacterial SSU rRNA
Rfam family: Bacterial small subunit ribosomal RNA
Source: RNAcentral
ACAUGCAAGUCGAGCGGAAGAUUUGGGAGCUUGCUCCCAAAUCUUAGCGGCGGACGGGUGAGUAACACGUGGGCAACCUGCCCUGCAGACUGGGAUAACUCCGGGAAACCGGAGCUAAUACCGGGUAAUACAUCGCACCGCAUGGUGUGAUGUUGAAAGUUGGCUUUCGAGCUAACACUGCAGGAUGGGCCCGCGGCGCAUUAGCUAGUUGGUAAGGUAAUGGCUUACCAAGGCGACGAUGCGUAGCCGACCUGAGAGGGUGAUCGGCCACACUGGGACUGAGACACGGCCCAGACUCCUACGGGAGGCAGCAGUAGGGAAUCUUCCGCAAUGGACGAAAGUCUGACGGAGCAACGCCGCGUGAGUGACGAAGGCCUUCGGGUCGUAAAGCUCUGUUGUUAGGGAAGAACAAGUACCGUUCGAAUAGGGCGGUACCUUGACGGUACCUAACCAGAAAGCCACGGCUAACUACGUGCCAGCAGCCGCGGUAAUACGUAGGUGGCAAGCGUUGUCCGGAAUUAUUGGGCGUAAAGCGCGCGCAGGCGG